RNAcentral lists this ribosomal RNA (640 nucleotides) under Erysiphe neolycopersici. RNAcentral describes it as "eukaryotic LSU rRNA". The stretch from base 250 to 403 matches the Rfam family "5.8S ribosomal RNA". The record is from RNAcentral. Lineage: Eukaryota; Fungi; Ascomycota; Leotiomycetes; Helotiales; Erysiphaceae.
UCCGUAGGUGAACCUGCGGAAGGAUCAUUACAGAGCGUGAGGCUCAGUCGUGGCGUCAGCUGCGUGCUGGGCCGACCCUCCCACCCGUGUCGAUUUCUAUCUUGUUGCUUUGGCGGGCCGGGCUACGUCGUCGCUGCCCGUACGGACAUGUGUCGGCCGCCCACCGGUUUCGACUGGAGCGCGUCCGCCAAAGACCUAACCAAAACUCAUGUUGUCUUUGUCGUCUCAGCUUUAUUAUUGAAUUGAUAAAACUUUCAACAACGGAUCUCUUGGCUCUGGCAUCGAUGAAGAACGCAGCGAAAUGCGAUAAGUAAUGUGAAUUGCAGAAUUUAGUGAAUCAUCGAAUCUUUGAACGCACAUUGCGCCCCUUGGUAUUCCGAGGGGCAUGCCUGUUCGAGCGUCAUAACACCCCCUCCAGCUGCCUUUGUGUGGUUGCGGUGUUGGGGCCCGUCGCGUUGCGGCAGCUCUUAAAGAUAGUGGCGGUCCUGGCGUGGGCUCUACGCGUAGUAACUUGCUUCUCGCGACAGAGUGACGACAGUGGCUUGCCAAAAGCCCGUUUGUUCCAGUCACAUGGAUCACAGGUUGACCUCGAAUCAGGUAGGAAUACCCGCUGAACUUAAGCAUAUCAAUAAGCGGAGGA